Long non-coding RNA from Cicer arietinum (chickpea), 1256 nucleotides. RefSeq lists it as uncharacterized. The record is from RefSeq and is a predicted model, not a curated record. NCBI's taxonomy places the organism in Eukaryota, Viridiplantae, Streptophyta, Magnoliopsida, Fabales, Fabaceae.
UGAUGCAACUUUCAAGUGGACGGCAUCAGCCUCACCGGGAGAUAAAUGUUGGAGUUGUAGAUGACACUUCUUCCCAAUUGUUGGGGCUGUGCAAGGUCAAUGAGUUACUUUAUCUUGUAUGGACCAUUGACAUUCUUGAGGAAAAUUCAAAUUUUGUUGAGGUUUUGAAGAUUUGGGAUGUUUUGCCAUUAUCUGAAGUAUCCAAGAUGGCGAGGGAUAUGAACAUCUUUUGCAGGAAUUAUUCUGUUGAUAUUCAUAGAUGCUGCAAAAUUAGAUGUUCUAAUGGCAGGGAUUUUGUCGUUCCGGAGAGAUGGUCAGCUAAUUUGAAUCAUCAAACCAAUCAUAAUCUGCAACAAGAUGAUCCAAUGCAGUUUCUUUGUAACCAACUUGAUUUGCUCCAACUGAGGGAUGUUUAAAUGAGAAUGAAUUGAAAUAUUGGAUUUUGGGAUCAUACUAGACAACUUUGGUUUGGAAAACAAAAAUUUAAAAUUUCAUGUUUAGGAAGGCAUCUGCCGCAACUGGAACUCCAAGGACAGCCUAAUAAUUGAUUUGAAUCAGGCUAAUUGUAACAUGUGUAUCACAGGAGAUUUGACUCCGCUAAAGUGAAAAAUACACUUGAACUUGAAAUUGUAUAUCCUCAGCUGAUCACAUAUUUUUCACGACUUCGAUCCUCUCUAGCAUCUCUAUCCUCUGUGUCAAAGGUUUACGAUUGGAUCAAUUCAGCAGUUGAGAUCAAUAAUCUUGGUCGUUGGAGAGUAAUCCAACCCCCAGCCACUUUUGGCUGUAGAGGUUGGAGACUAUCAAGAGGAACAGAGCUGUCUUUUCUAUAGACACACAAACACUUAACAUUGACAAACCACAUGUGUAUGUACGUAUAGAAGAAUUUAGUCAAUAUCUGCAUGAAGGCAUGGAGUAAAACAUUAUGCCUUUUUUUGGGUUUGCAUAGCCUCUAUAUCUACAUUGUAUUUUCAUGCCAGGUUCAAUUUAAGAUUUCAUCUGGAUAUGACAAGGAAGAAGCAAAAUAGUAUGUGAAACAUGGAUUUUCUUUAAUGCCUUUGGGGUGUAUUUUCAGUAUCAUAUCGAUAGUAUCCAAGUUCAAGAAAAUAGUAAUUGUAUUAUUGAUUUAGAAACUUGAUGUAUUUUAGAAGAAAAGUCUACCGUAACCUCUGACUUAUUGUUCCUUGUAGAAGAGAUGAUUUUCUCUGUCCAACCCUUAAAGGUUGUAUAUGUAAAGGAUCUAGAAUGCAUUCGCCCGA